UACAGAGGGUGCGAGCGUUGUCCGAAAUCACUGGGCGUAAAGGGCGCGUAGGUGGCGCGACAAGUCAGUGGUGAAAGUUCGACGCUCAACGUCGAAUCGGCCACUGAUACUGUUGGGCUUGAGCACUGUAGAGGCUAAUGGAAUUCCGGGUGUAGCGGUGGAAUGCGUAGAGAUCCGGAAGAACACCGGUGGCGAAGGCGGGUCUCUGGGCCGAUACUGACGCUGAGGAGCGAAAGCGUGGGGAGCGAACAGG
Molecule: ribosomal RNA, 253 nt
Filed under: uncultured bacterium
Lineage: Bacteria
Description: partial 16S ribosomal RNA
Rfam family: Bacterial small subunit ribosomal RNA
Source: RNAcentral